AACGAACGCUGGCGGCAUGCCUAACACAUGCAAGUCGAACGAGACCUUCGGGUCUAGUGGCGCACGGGCGCGUAACGCGUGGGAACCUGCCCUUAGGUUCGGAAUAACUCCCCGAAAGGGGUGCUAAUACCGGAUAAUGUCUUCGGACCAAAGAUUUAUCGCCUUUGGAUGGGCCCGCGUUGGAUUAGCUAGUUGGUAGGGUAAAAGCCUACCAAGGCGACGAUCCAUAGCUGGUCUGAGAGGAUGAUCAGCCACACUGGGACUGAGACACGGCCCAGACUCCUACGGGAGGCAGCAGUGGGGAAUAUUGGACAAUGGGCGAAAGCCUGAUCCAGCAAUGCCGCGUGAGUGAUGAAGGCCUUAGGGCUGUAAAGCUCUUUUACCCGGGAUGAUAAUGACAGUACCGGGAGAAUAAGCUCCGGCUAACUCCGUG
RNAcentral lists this ribosomal RNA (433 nucleotides) under uncultured bacterium. RNAcentral's name for it is "partial 16S ribosomal RNA". It matches the Rfam family "Bacterial small subunit ribosomal RNA", at positions 29 to 507 of the family's 1533-position model. The record is from RNAcentral.